GACUAUGUUAAUUUUGCUUAUUUUCUUUGUCUGCAAACUGAGUAUAGAUAUUCAAGUGUUCUAUAGAUCAUAGGUUAUUCUUUCAUUCCAACACAGCACACAAUUUGUUCAGUGUGCCAAGCGACAAGACAACAAUGUCGUUUUUAAGGUAUGUUGCUUCUGUUUCCUUUCCCAAUUCUAGAUCAUACUCUCACUGUCUCCAACAUUUCAAUGAUGAUGCUGUUGAUGCUGUUUCCUUGUUCAAUCGAUUGCUCCAAACGAAACCCACCCCACCCGCCAUUGAAUUUGGCAAGAUUUUAGGUUCUCUUGUCAAAGCCAAACAUUAUUCCACUGUUGUUUCCCUUUCUCAAAAGAUGGAAUUGAGUAGAGUUACUCCUGAUUUUGUAACUCACAACAUCAUCAUCAAUUCUCUCUCUCAAUUAGGUCAUAUUACUUUUGCUUUUUCUGUUUUGGGGAAGAUUCUCAAGAGGGGUUAUCUCCCAGAUGCUAUAACCUUGACUGCAUUCAUCAAGGGUCUCUGUCUCAAAGGUGAACUUCAUAAAGCAUUGCAAUUUCAUGACAAGGUGGUAGCUCACGGAUUUCAUUUCAACCAAGUUAGCUAUGGGACAUUGAUCAAUGGUUUAUGUAAACUUGGAGAAACAACUGCAGCACUACAGUUGCUCAGACGAGUUGAUGGAAAGUUGGUUCAACCUAAUGUGGUAAUGUACACUACGAUUAUUGACAGCAUGUGCAAAGAUAAACUUGUUAACAAUGCAUGUGAUUUAUAUUCUGAAAUGGUUGCUAAGAGAAUUUCUCCUAAUGUUUUGACUUACACUGCUUUAAUUAGUGGCUUUUGCAUUGUUGGUAGAUUGAAAGAAGCAAUUGAUUUGUUUAAUAAAAUGACGUUGGAAAAAAUCUACCCGAAUGUGUAUACUUUUAGUAUAUUGGUUGAUGCUUUUUGUAAGGAAGGAAAGGUGAAAGAAGCACAGAAUGUGUUAGCUAUGAUGAUUAAAAAAGACAUUAAACUUAAUGUUGUUACGUAUAACUCUUUAAUGGAUGGAUAUUGUCAUGCAAAUGAAGUGAGCAAGGCCAAUGAUAUAUUCAACAUUAUGUCCAAAAGGGGAGUGAUUGCUAAUGUUUGGAGCUACAAUACCAUGAUCGUUGGAUUUUGUAAGGUUAAAAUGGUGGAUGAAGCUAUUAAUCUCUUCAAAGAAAUGCAUUGCAGAAAAAUCAUUCCCAAUACGGUAACUUACAAUUCCCUUAUUGAUGGUUUGUGCAAAUCGAGGAAAAUCUCACAUGCUUGGGAGAUUGUCGACGAGAUGCAUGAUAGAGGUCAACCCCCGGAUAUAAUUACUUAUAAUUCUUUAUUAGAUGCUUUGUGCAAAAAUCAUGAUGUUGAUAAGGCAAUUGCUUUAUUUAAAGAAUUUAAAGACAAAGGUAUUAAACCAAGUGUGUGCACAUACACUAUUCUUAUCGAUGGAUUGUGUAAAGGUGGAAGACUAAAGGACGCGCAAAAGGUUUUUGAAGAACUUUUGGUCAAGGGUUACAAUCUUGAUGUCUAUAUAUAUACUGUUAUGAUCCAUGGAUUUUGUAACAAUGGCUUGUUUGAUGAAGCGUUGACUAUGCUGUCAAAAAUGAUAGACAAUGGUUGCAUUCCGGAUGCUCGUACUUAUGAAAUCAUUAUUCUUUCCCUAUUUGAAAAUGAUGAAAAUGAUAAAGCUGAGAAACUUCUUCUUGAAAUGAUUAUGAGAGGUCUACUAUGAGACUAGUAAUAGGUAAGAUGCAUUUCUAUUUCCACAUUAUCAUUUGAAUUUAUGUUUCAACAUUAUUUCAUCUUUUCAUUAUUGUAGUUGCUUCAGCUAAUGGGAUAAAGAUACAUAUUUUUAUUAUUUGUGUGCUUAACAAAAUGAUAGAUUGGAGAGUCCAAUUUGAGGGAGAUUGGUAGAGUUUAUAUUGUUGUCUUAGAAGUGUUGGGCUGUGUUUGUACUAACCGUAUUACACCUCUAGCCAAUACCUUUAGCAAUAGAAAAUAUCUUGAUGCUUUAUAUGGAUACAAGUUUGCUUACGUAGGCCUUCAUUCGAGGCGUCUGGUUUUGAGCUGUUGCUCUAAUCUUCUUAAUGUCAUUGCGAUACUGCAAUCACAAUAGGUCCAUGGAUACAAUGUCCCUUUGAAUUCGUUUCCACCAAAAUUUAUAUUAUCACCUCAAGUAGUACUACAAUUUACAGUUCCUCUUUUUAACUGCUUUGUUGAUUCCUCAAAUGGGUACAUGUUCAGAUGCACAUCAUUUUCAUUCACAGUUUAAAAAUAAGUUUGCUUAUUUAGACCUAAGAGCAUGGCUCAUAAUAUUUAGGGGAAAGGGUUGGUUAGAGAAGUAGAACAUCAUGUGUUCUGAUUUCAGUGUUAGGUUUGGAAGCCAGAGUCUCUUUGCCUUUGAUUUUUAGCUGUUUCUAUUGUCUUUUUAAUGUCAUUGCUGUUCUGAAAUUACAAGUUCCAUCAAUACAAUGUCCUUUGAAUUAAUUUGCACUACAAUACAUGAAGCAACUGGGCUGUUUAUUUCUAUUUGGAAUCUUAACAAAUGCAAAUAAAGAUUUAGGACACAAGAAACAUUUUGGCAGAAAAAUUGUAGUAAGGUACUGCUAAUUACUAUUAGGACACCGGAAUUGCAUUAUAGAUUUAGGGAGUUUUAUAUAUGAUGAUACACAUUAUGACAAACUAAACUUUAAAAUACUUGACAAUUUAUAAGUAGAUUUUGGAUCCACAUAUUUAGUAGCAAAAGUGAGAAUAUCGCUCUGUUUACUGCAAUUGAGUAAUGCAUAAGUCAAAUUACUUCUUUCCUAUUUGUGAUUGUGUUACAUGGUUGGACUAUCAACCAUGUAACAGAUACAAUCUUUUGCAUCUGCAUGAUGUAUACUGUUUUGAACCUUGCCUCUAAGGAAGGUGGAAGAGAGAUAAUAAAAGAACAUGAAUUAUCUAUGAAGGCUAACAUACAUUCAUCACAGCUUUGGACACUAAAUAAGUUAAUAUACUAUAACUUCGUUUCCUGAACAAGGUUUAUUACAUGACAGCAGAGCGAACCAAAUCAGCACAAGCUGAUAAACAUUUUCUAGGAUUGCUCUAAUUGGUUGAGGAAGUGCAUCAAAACUUGUUACUUACUGUGAUGAUAUACAUUGCCGGUUGAGCUAUCACCUCAUGUUUGAUGGAUACUGGUGUUGUGCUGCGUGUUUGAACCUCUACUUGACCAAUCAAGGACACUUUUGUCAUAUCCCAAUUUCGUCCGGGUAAGAAAAAUAUUUCACCAGCAUUCACCACCAGAAAUUAUAAGGCAUAAACUCUAUUUUAGGGUUUCUUAGUCCUAAGCUACUCCAAACUCCCCAUCCUUCCUAAAGGCACAUUCAAUACUCACAUGAUCAUUAUAAAGAAAACCCUCAGUGACAUCAAACUUUCAACAAAUCUUUUUGUGGCAUUUCAUCUGUUAAGUUCCUUGUUCAUGACUCAAGAAAACAUCUGUUGCGUUUGUCUCUUAUAGUUGUUACUAAAGCAUGGGAUGCUACGCGCAUUUUGGGACUUGUUGGUUAUAAAAGUCCAAUUUUUGGUUUAUCCGUAAGACCUUUAGGUUUAAAAAGCCCACUCCUAUAAACAUAUUGAAAGUUCAAAGUAUGAUUCAAAUCUUUUUUUUUACACAUACUAAUCCAAGUCCACUCUCUUAUUAGCAAGUAUUAAAAGCCAUGUUAUUUUUUAUGAUCACUUGAGUAGCCCAAGUUUGCAAGUCCAUUUUCACAUCCCAAAUAUUUGUGCCAAAUUUUAAGUCCUUCAUAGGUCCUUAAAUUAAAUUUGCGUUUUUGAAGCAUGUAUGUGUUGGGUCUAAGCUAAGUCACCAUAUUUAGACUCAUGUGUCAAGAUCCUUUGUUGGUUUCGUGGUUGGAGUAGAGCUUUCCAUGCUUAUGAUGUGCGUUUCAUCUUGUUCUUUUAGUUAUAUGAUUAUUUAGCCAAUAAUAAAUAUACUAAGGGCAACCAAUUUGAAUGUUCAUUCUUAUAUUUAUGGUGGUCCAAACAAGUUUUCAAAUGAAAUAUUAAGAUAAGAUUUGAGUGUUUAAAAAAAAUUGAUUACAUAAACAAGUUCUAAUCUAGGAUAUUAUAAGAUAGUCCAAAGGUUAAUACACAUUAUCCAAAAAAUACAAAGUGUUACAAUUGAAUAAACAAGGUUAUGCUGCAUGUCCAGCUAUUGAAAACAGAGCCUUCAAAGAAACCAUUGCCAAAAGACCAUCCUUUGGAUUGAAGCACCCUAAACCAAAUUCCCUCAUGGAACUGGUACAGCAGUCGUCCGUUCCCACUUGAAAUUGGAUUUGCCUUUGCGACCUGCGAAGAAAUAAAAGCUUAAGUCAAAAGUCUUAUCAUAAGCACUUAAAAAACUGAAGAAUAAUUAAUAAUUAAUCAGGUAAAAGCUUUGCACAGAGGACCACAAUGAACGCCCAUAAAUGUAUUUCGCUACAAGUUCAACAGUAAUGAAUCCACAAAAUAAAAAUCCCACGAAAUCUGGGAUGAGCAAAAGAUAUCCUGACAGAUUAUCCUAGGAGUUACUAGCUCAUCAUGAAGAGGAUAAGCUAC
RNA transcript from Lathyrus oleraceus (garden pea), 4585 nucleotides. It is a transcript of the gene named pentatricopeptide repeat-containing protein At1g62930, chloroplastic, with no coding region annotated. The transcript has 2 exons. NCBI's taxonomy places the organism in Eukaryota, Viridiplantae, Streptophyta, Magnoliopsida, Fabales, Fabaceae. The record is from RefSeq and is a predicted model, not a curated record.